Molecule: RNA transcript, 1814 nt
Organism: Notothenia coriiceps (black rockcod)
Lineage: Eukaryota; Metazoa; Chordata; Actinopteri; Perciformes; Nototheniidae
Gene: smim32
Gene name: small integral membrane protein 32
Exons: 2
Source: RefSeq, a predicted model, not a curated record
GCGAAGAUGGGAAGCUAUUCACGACCCAGCUUGCUGCUGUGUUUGGUCCAUCGUUAAUCCCUUCUCUCGUCUCAUUUUAAUCAUACUGAAUCGAUAUUCCCGUAAGGGCAGACCCACAGCAGCCUCUAUCCGACACGUAUCGACCCUUUUACUGGAUAAAAGAGAAGGGGACGGGUUGGGAAACGGAGGAUCCGGCUUGUCCUUCCUCUGCGCUCAGCACAGUCAAAGGAGAACUUGUCGAUGCGCACCAAGACGCGCAAGAGGACAUGUAUGCGCACCAGAGAGCAACGUUGAACUUCACCCUCUCUGACAGAGCCUAGAUUCAUUUCGAUAUCACUAGUGUAGUAUAUUGCAGUCUGUGCUUGACCAUAUGCAUGGCAGGAGGUUUUGGAUUUAAACAGCAACAAGUGAAAUUGGUAGAGUGCUCUUUCACUGGGACGCUGGUCUGUGCUGACACGUGGAUUGGAUUAAUUAAUGUUGGGGAACGCUGCAUUAAUAUACCACCUCAUCGACAUAUGGACAUUUGAAGAGAUCAACCUGCCGUUUUUCCACGGCGCAUGCUCUGGAGCAGGAGCGGACAGAGCUGGGCACACUGAGGAAUGCGGAGCCGGGAUUGUGUCUUUUCCAGCUCACCCGCGGAACUCUUCGCAGCACAAACCAGUAAGAAUUGCUACGGAUUCUUCUUUGUCGGUGCAUCAUCAGAGACAGGACACCCAGGCUGAACCCACACGGGGUCAGUGAGCUUCAUAACCUUCUCCGUGUCUUUUUAACCCUCCAGCCGGUGAGCACACGGGGCGCAAUGCUAAGGCAGAUCCUCCUCAACUCGACCCACACCCCGGACUUCGACUUGGUCCUCAUGGCCCAGUCCUCUACGCACGCCCCUUCCUCCCUGAACGCCUCCCAUGGGGGGUCUGUGGGCGUGGCCGCUCUCCUGAGACCCACCACUGGGCGAGGAGGACUCCGGGAGGGCGAGCUCCACAAACCGGACCUGAUUACAUACAUAGUCAUGUGCCUGCUGCUCUUCCUGUUGGUGUUGCUCAUUGUGUUCUUCAUCAACUGCCAGCUGCGGAACUCUUUCUUCGCUUCCAUGCCAUAUGACAGGUCACUGAGAGAGGCCCGGACCUCCUACAAGUAAGCUAGACCCCCGGGACAAAUCCCUGGGACUCUGAGGCUGUUGUUGGGGUUUAAGGACUAACAUGGACUAACAAAAUGGUUGCCUUUAGUAGUUGUGUUGAAUACAUUGGAAAGCCUAAAUCAGGGCCAUAAUUAAAGUUUGCCCACAUUUUUCACUUUAAGGCAAAGCACCAACCAGAAAAUGCCCUUCAGCCUGAAGCACCCAUUGCCUGAAAGCUUCAGGCAAUGGGUGCCAUUUCAGAAGAUUAAUGGGGCUUGGGCUUACUUCAGGUGGAAGGAUACCACUAUGACUCCUAAAUCAAUUAGUGACUCAUAUAUGUUCUGGUAAUGACUUAAUAAAAUGUGAAACAAUCCAUCAUCCUCUGCAACCCCCCUCGUGAUGCCACCACUGCACUUUGGAAACACAUUACGUAUUCCUUUAUAGUACACUCUCAAGCUUAUAUUUAUUCAUAUGGCAGCCUACAAAUUCGACCUGGUGUCUGCAAUCUGCAGGUAAAUCACAGUAUUUCAAACAGGCCCGACAAAAUGUGUCUAUUUUUUCCAUGGAAAUAUGGUAACAGAAAGGGUCUACAGCAGAUUGUAUAAUAUUUUGUAUGACUGUAACUUAACUGUCUUGUCUUGUAAAAUUCAGAAAUCAACACAAAAUGUCCCUCCUUCCAUUGUAAAAUGCUGAUUAAAGG